AAGUCGUAACAAGGUCUCCGUAGGUGAACCUGCGGAGGGAUCAUUAACACGUAUCCAAACGUUCAAACCAAAACCGUGCUCCUUAUGUUCCCAUCUAAUUCAAGUGAUUCCGUAAGCCAUAGAUGGAUUCCUAUAGCAAUACAAGGCGCAAGUCUUGUGGAGCUUAGGUCUACUUACGAAUCUAUCGAGUACUUUGAUAUUCAACUUGAGUUAGUAUGGCGUAUAUCCCUUUAAGCCAUCUGGUUAUUAAGCCAAACCGGUUUCGACCCGGAGCUUAGUAGCCUUAUUAAACCUAAUUUUUUAACCCCUUUCUUUUAUAUAAAGCACUGACUUACACUUUCUGAACUUAACGGUUUAGAACAGUUAUACGAAACGCGAACAACUCUUAGCAAUGGAUAUCUUGGUUCUC
This 409-nucleotide unclassified non-coding RNA is filed under the name fungal sp. RNAcentral describes it as "partial internal transcribed spacer region". The stretch from base 1 to 46 matches the Rfam family "Eukaryotic small subunit ribosomal RNA", at positions 1786 to 1831 of the family's 1831-position model. The record is from RNAcentral. Lineage: Eukaryota; Fungi.